GGCCCGGUAGAGUAACUGGUUAACUCGUCACCCUUUCAAGGUGAAGAUUACGGGUUCGAUUCCCGUCCGGGCUA
Non-coding RNA from Acidobacteria bacterium 13_2_20CM_58_27, 74 nucleotides. NCBI's taxonomy places the organism in Bacteria, Pseudomonadati, Acidobacteriota. The record is from Rfam.